AACGAACGCUGGCGGCAUGCCUAACACAUGCAAGUCGAACGAGACCUUCGGGUCUAGUGGCGCACGGGUGCGUAACGCGUGGGAACCUGCCCUAGGUUCGGAAUAACUCCCCGUAAGGGGUGCUAAUACCGGCUAAUGUCUUCGGACCAAAGAUUUAUCGCCUUUGGAUGGGCCCGCGUUGGAUUAGCUAGUUGGUAGGGUAAAAGCCUACCAAGGCGACGAUCCAUAGCUGGUCUGAGAGGAUGAUCAGCCACACUGGGACUGAGACACGGCCCAGACUCCUACGGGAGGCAGCAGUGGGGAAUAUUGGACAAUGGGCGAAAGCCUGAUCCAGCAAUGCCGCGUGAGUGAUGAAGGCCUUAGGGUUGUAAAGCUCUUUUACCCGGGAUGAUAAUGACAGUACCGGGAGAAUAAGCUCCGGCUAACUCCGUG
This 432-nucleotide ribosomal RNA is filed under the name uncultured bacterium. RNAcentral describes it as "partial 16S ribosomal RNA". It matches the Rfam family "Bacterial small subunit ribosomal RNA", at positions 29 to 507 of the family's 1533-position model. The record is from RNAcentral.